Molecule: ribosomal RNA, 246 nt
Filed under: Triticum aestivum (bread wheat)
Lineage: Eukaryota; Viridiplantae; Streptophyta; Magnoliopsida; Poales; Poaceae
Description: partial small subunit ribosomal RNA
Source: RNAcentral
AUGAGCUCGGCCUCGGCGCCUCGUGAUGAUGCCGCUAUUCCUCCCUCCGUAGCCACGACGAGGUACGCUCGUUCAUACAGCGACCGCCGUCUGUCAAUUGAUUCAUCUGACCGGCCGAUCGUUGCAAGGGAGGAGGAGAGGAACGACGUCAUCGCGAGGCGGACGAAGAGGAUGACGUACUCGAGGGGGCUCCUGCUCGCCGUCGGCAGCUUGGAGGCAUGCCGACUUGGCCAAGCACCCCGAUGA